AGAGUUUGAUCCUGGCUCAGAUUGAACGCUGGCGGCAUGCCUUACACAUGCAAGUCGAACGGUAACGCGGGGCAACCUGGCGACGAGUGGCGAACGGGUGAGUAAUGCAUCGGAACGUGCCCAGUAGUGGGGGAUAGCCCGGCGAAAGCCGGAUUAAUACCGCAUACGACCUACGGGUGAAAGGGGGGGAUCGCAAGACCUCUCGCUAUUGGAGCGGCCGAUGUCAGAUUAGGUAGUUGGUGGGGUAAAGGCCUACCAAGCCGACGAUCUGUAGCUGGUCUGAGAGGACGACCAGCCACACUGGGACUGAGACACGGCCCAGACUCCUACGGGAGGCAGCAGUGGGGAAUUUUGGACAAUGGGCGCAAGCCUGAUCCAGCCAUGCCGCGUGCGGGAAGAAGGCCUUCGGGUUGUAAACCGCUUUUGUCAGGGAAGAAAUCUUCUGAGUUAAUACCUCGGGAGGAUGACGGUACCUGAAGAAUAAGCAC
This 488-nucleotide ribosomal RNA is filed under the name uncultured Ideonella sp. RNAcentral's name for it is "bacterial SSU rRNA". It matches the Rfam family "Bacterial small subunit ribosomal RNA", at positions 8 to 493 of the family's 1533-position model. Lineage: Bacteria; Pseudomonadati; Pseudomonadota; Betaproteobacteria; Burkholderiales; Sphaerotilaceae. The record is from RNAcentral.